RNAcentral lists this ribosomal RNA (497 nucleotides) under uncultured bacterium. RNAcentral describes it as "partial 16S ribosomal RNA". It matches the Rfam family "Bacterial small subunit ribosomal RNA", at positions 28 to 507 of the family's 1533-position model. The record is from RNAcentral.
GAUGAACGCUGGCGGCGUGCCUAAUACAUGCCAGUCGAGCGAACAGAUCAGGAGCUUGCUCCUUUGACGUUAGCGGCGGACGGGUGAGUAACACGUGGGUAACCUACCUAUAAGACUGGGAUAACUUCGGGAAACCGGAGCUAAUACCGGAUAACAUUUGGAACCGCAUGGUUCUAAAGUGAAAGAUGGUUUUGCUUUCACUUAUAGAUGGACCCGCGCCGUAUUAGCUAGUUGGUAAGGUAACGGCUUACCAAGGCGACGAUACGUAGCCGACCUGAGAGGGUGAGCGGCCACACUGGAACUGAGACACGGUCCAGACUCCUACGGGAGGCAGCAGUAGGGAAUCUUCCGCAAGGGGCGAAAGCCUGACGGAGCAACGCCGCGUGAGUGAUGAAGGGGUUCGGCUCGGAAAACUCUGUUAUUAGGGAAGAACAAACGUGUAAGUAACUGUGCACGUCUUGACGGUACCUAAUCAGAAAGCCACGGCUAACUACGUG